GUGUAUCGCAGCUCUCGCUGUGGGAUCUGAAGCUUUGGAGACGGUCACUCGGGGUCCUUCAGCCUUGCUCCAGCCGCGGGACUGAGGUACACAACCACUUCUGAAGACACUGCGAACUUCUCUCCUUUUCCAAGCCUGCUCACUAGAAGAUCAAGGAGAUAAUUAGCAUGCGGGCUCUGAUUACAGACCAUGAAUCCUCAGUACUCGGGUGCCACUCACGGACAGAUGCAAACCGAGCUCCUUCGUCAAGCUGCCGUCUUUCCACUGUCAGUGAGCAGCCCUGGGAGGGGCAGGGGGAAAACCACUCGUUUGUCAGACUCCAUGAACUCUGGCCCGCAGCCCACGCGGCACUGGGAAUUCUGGUUGCCAGAUGGGAAACCACGUGACAGUUCUCCUUGAAACGUGUCACCCUGGGGACAGAGGAAAAUCUAAUGGUAAACAUCUUUAUUUUCUGAGACAGGCCCAAGAACCUGGCUCCACAGGUCCACCUUCCCAUCCUUGCUCUACCCCCACCAAAAAAAAAAAAAAAAA
Microtus ochrogaster (prairie vole) is the source of this 531-nucleotide RNA transcript. It is a transcript of the gene named proline rich 30, with no coding region annotated. Lineage: Eukaryota; Metazoa; Chordata; Mammalia; Rodentia; Cricetidae. The record is from RefSeq and is a predicted model, not a curated record.